AUAACGACUCUCGGCAACGGAUAUCUAGGCUCUCGCAUCGAUGAAGAACGCAGCRAAAUGCGAUACUUGGUGUGAAUUGCAGAAUCCCGUGAACCAUCGAGUUUUUGAACGCAAGUUGCGCCCGAAGCCAUUAGGCUGAGGGCACGUCUGCCUGGGSGUCACGC
This 164-nucleotide ribosomal RNA is filed under the name Scrophularia libanotica. RNAcentral describes it as "5.8S ribosomal RNA". It matches the Rfam family "5.8S ribosomal RNA". Rfam says of the family: 5.8S ribosomal RNA (5.8S rRNA) is a component of the large subunit of the eukaryotic ribosome. Lineage: Eukaryota; Viridiplantae; Streptophyta; Magnoliopsida; Lamiales; Scrophulariaceae. The record is from RNAcentral.